UCCACGGUUUCUGCGACGCAGCUAACGCAUUAAGUGCCCCGCCUGGGGAGUACGAUCGCAAGAUUAAAACUCAAAGGAAUUGACGGGGCCCCGCACAAGCAGCGGAGCAUGCGGCUUAAUUCGACGCAACGCGAAGAACCUUACCAAGGCUUGACAUAUACAGGAAUAUGGCAGAGAUGUCAUAGCCGCAAGGUCUGUAUACAGGUGGUGCAUGGUUGUCGUCAGCUCGUGUCGUGAGAUGUUGGGUUAAGUCCCGCAACGAGCGCAACCCUCGUUCUGUGUUGCCAGCAUUAAGUUGGGGACUCACAGGAGACUGCCGGGGUUAACUCGGAGGAAGGUGGGGAUGACGUCAAAUCAUCAUGCCCCUUAUGUCUUGGGCUGCACGCAUGCUACAAUGGCUGGUACAAACGGCUGCGAUACCGCAAGGUGGAGCGAAUCCGAUAAAGCCAGUCUCAGUUCGGAUUGGGGUCUGCAACUCGACCCCAUGAAGUCGGAGUUGCUAGUAAUCGUAGAUCAGCAACGCUACGGUGAAUACGUUCCCGGGGCUUGUACACACCGCCCGUCACGUCACGAAAGUCGGUAACACCCGAAGUCAGUGGCCCAACC
This 606-nucleotide ribosomal RNA is filed under the name uncultured Actinomycetes bacterium. RNAcentral describes it as "bacterial SSU rRNA". It matches the Rfam family "Bacterial small subunit ribosomal RNA", at positions 831 to 1440 of the family's 1533-position model. The record is from RNAcentral. Lineage: Bacteria; Bacillati; Actinomycetota; Actinomycetes.